UUUGUCAGCAAUACCAUAUGUUUUGCUGGUCAUUCAAGGAUGGAAUACCAAAACUAUUGGUUCUGUUUUUGUUUUGGAUAUGUUUUGCUAAAUUGGAAAUUAGCAGUGAUGACAAAAUCUAAGGCUUGUUUCUCAAAACAUUCGCAGUGGCCGCCUAAGAGCUUUCGCCUUCGCCUUCGCCGGGCUUGAGAGCUUGUGCUGCUUCUAUCCUUCCUUGGAUGUCUGAGCGUUUACUCUUUCUUCGUUCUUUCUUUUCUAAUUCUUGGCUUUUUUUUUUCUUUUCUGUUCCUUGGUUUAAGUUUUGAAGUCUGUUCUUGUUUCUGGUUUAGGAUAGGAUCAAUGAUUUGAGUUUCAGUUGUAUGAGUUAUAACAUUUGGUUUAUGAUGACAAAUCCAAAGGCUUGUUUCUCAAAACAUUCGCAGUGGCCGCCUAAGAGCUUUCGUCUUCGCCAGGCUUGAGAGCUUAUGCUGCUUUUAUCCUUCCUUGGAUGUCUGAAACAUUUAUUUAUUAUCAUUCAGUGUGUUUUUUGUGCUGUGGUAUGUUCAAGAUGUACACCUUCUGUUGGAGAAGGUUAGAAGAUUACUUUGGGCUUGUCAGUUGCCAAUUAGGCUUUAAGGUCUUUAUUUGGACCAUGUUGCAGUUUUAAAUUUGUAGUGAUGCUUGUUUCAACCAUUGUUGAGCUAACACCGAGAAUUGUGUUGUAGAAUUAUGUCCCUCUGUUAGCAACGACAGUGAAUUUUAAUUGAUUAUGAAGUUGCAUUUAGGACAUGGGUGUGAGUUUGCAGUAGCUAUCAACUACUAAAUUGGUUACAUUCUUGUAGGGGCUUUGGAUUUUGGGACUUUUGAUGUCUGCCCCUUUUGCAUCAAUUUGGGUUGCUUUUGGGAUGAACAAGUCCAUUAUAUACAAUUAUUCAUCCUAUACUUAAUCUGCACUUCUUUUGAUGUUUCACUGAUUAUGCAGUGAUGGAACAAUUUUUUUAGCUCUUGGAAUGUGACUGUGUUUCUCGCAUGAUAUGUUUGGUCACCAUCUUUGUGUUAUGUUUCAUUAGUUGUUUCUUGAUGCCUCGUCCCAAUUUUUAUUUUUUCAUCUAGUUAGCAUACUUUUGUAUUGUUGCAGUUAUUAAUUUUUGGUUCAUGAUGACAAAUGCAAAGGCUUGUUUCUCAAAACAUUCGCAGUGGCCGCCUAAGAGCUUUCGCCUUUGCCGGGCUUGAGAGCUUAUGCUGCUUCUAUCCUUCCUUG
RNAcentral lists this long non-coding RNA (1240 nucleotides) under Coffea arabica (coffee). RNAcentral describes it as "long non-coding RNA (CARA_LNC004969)". The stretch from base 376 to 499 matches the Rfam family "Small nucleolar RNA SNORD14". Lineage: Eukaryota; Viridiplantae; Streptophyta; Magnoliopsida; Gentianales; Rubiaceae. The record is from RNAcentral.